CUGCAGGCAGCGCUCUGGCUCAGCCCACCGCCAGGAGAGACUGCUGCCCCAAAUAAACAGCUACAGGAGAGAUGAAAUAAAAGAGUGGAUUACAGCGAAGGGAAAACAGAGCGUGAAUGUUUUGGACCCCAUUGAAUGUGGACAAACAGUGAAACAUUGUUCAACAUAUCUUUUGUGUUCAGCAGAAGAAAGAAAAUCAUAUGAUUUUAAGACAACAUACAGUAAGGGUUUUAAAGAUGUGGACUUACACUCUUUACAUAAACGUAAAGAUGUUGGUGCCAAUUCAUAGGUAAUUGUCCCUUCUGGGCCUGGAUGCUGGGAGUCUUGGAGGAGCCUAAGCUC
Molecule: long non-coding RNA, 342 nt
Organism: Labeo rohita (rohu)
Lineage: Eukaryota; Metazoa; Chordata; Actinopteri; Cypriniformes; Cyprinidae
Exons: 3
Source: RefSeq, a predicted model, not a curated record